This is a long non-coding RNA of Microtus oregoni (creeping vole), 215 nucleotides long. RefSeq lists it as uncharacterized. The record is from RefSeq and is a predicted model, not a curated record. The transcript has 3 exons. Lineage: Eukaryota; Metazoa; Chordata; Mammalia; Rodentia; Cricetidae.
CCAAAAGGAGGCACUGGAAUUCUAAGAGCAGGAGCACAUAUACUCCAGCAACGAGACAAAGAACCCUGAGGUAUGUUGGACCAGUGAAGCACUAUUUCCCUAACACCACUUUGGUUCUGGAAGUUUAGGACAAGGCAGCUCAAAGAUCUGUCCAUAUAAGCCUAAACAUGAGUAGGGCAUGCUCUUCGUGGGACUCCAGGCUACUCAGAAGUGGC